AUGCUCUGCAUAUAUAGCCUAGAUGAGACAGUCUUGGCGUUCCAUAAUUUAACCCAACUACAAAGCUUGACUAUUAAAAAUUGCCCACCUCUGGCGGAGAAACACCUUCAAAUGCUGACCUCGUUGAAGACCCUCGACAUAGAUGGUUCAAGCAUUACGUUCCAGCAAGUUGGGGAGGCCGUUCUUUGGCAGCUUCCAGUUAACAGGUUAGAGAUAAACGGUAGGUGGAGUGGUAGCUGGAAGGAAGUGACACGUCUACUCACUCAUCUCCCUGAGCUCUCUCACUUGUCUAUAUGUGGAAGGGGAUGUGAGAAGGUAUUGACAGGGUUGGGCCUGGACGUGCAGCAACAAACAGCAGCAUCUUCAGCUGCUAAAUUGCAGCAGCAGGAUACAUAUAGAACAACAGAUCCACAACAAGAAAUAGCGCAGGAGGUCGUCGUUGUGGAUGAAGAAGAAAGAGAAGAUGACGACGACGGGCUGCUGCUCUUACCGCCGGCCCAUCUGUCCUACUCUCUCCAGGAGUUGGGCAUCGAAGAUUGUCCAGAGCUUGUCCUCAGGAGCCACGGGACAGGUCUGCAAUUCAUGGGCUCCCUCAACACAAUGAACUUCUUGUCUGCCUUGGAUCUCUGCCCUUUCCCGUCCACCCUGCAAUCCCUCAGCCUUGGAGGUGGUAUGGAGGGCAUGGAGACGCUGGCUCCCCUCUCCAACCUCACCUCUCUCGAGACGUUAAGCAUUCGGGAUUUGGGGGAUGCUUUUAGGUGCGACGGCUUGCUGCCUCUCCUUACCCAAGGUCAGCUCACCGCAUUAAGUGUCAGCGACAGCCCCAAAUUCUUUGCUGGCAUUCAGGGUCCCGCUCCCGCACAGGCGGUCUCCAAACUGCAGGAACUCGUGACGGAUGACAUCGCAACAGUCUUAACUGCGCCCAUCUGCCGCCUCCUCUCUUCCUCCCUCACCAAAUUAUCCUUUCAUGAUAAAGAGGUGGAUCGCUUCAGCAAGGAGCAAGAGGAGGCUCUUUCUCUCCUCACCUCCCUCCAGGGGCUCAAAUUUGGGUGGUGCACCAAGCUGCGGUGCCUCCCAGCCAUGAAGUCGCUGCACAAGCUCACCAACCUCAAGAGAUUGGAGAUCUGGUACUGUCCAGCCAUGAGGUCGCUGCCAAAGAAUGGCCUCCCCACCUCGCUGCAAGAGUUAGAGGUCUUCAGAUGCACCAACCUCCGGUGUCUCCCAGAAGGGCUGCACAAGCUCACCAACCUCAGGAUACUGGUACUGUCCAGCCAUGAGGUCGCUGCCAAAGAAUGGCCUUCCCACCUCGCUGCAAGAGUUAGAUGUCCGCGAUUGCAAAAAUGA
Molecule: ribosomal RNA, 1344 nt
Filed under: Triticum aestivum (bread wheat)
Lineage: Eukaryota; Viridiplantae; Streptophyta; Magnoliopsida; Poales; Poaceae
Description: partial small subunit ribosomal RNA
Source: RNAcentral